RNAcentral lists this ribosomal RNA (253 nucleotides) under uncultured bacterium. Its description in RNAcentral is "partial 16S ribosomal RNA". It matches the Rfam family "Bacterial small subunit ribosomal RNA", at positions 524 to 776 of the family's 1533-position model. The record is from RNAcentral.
UACGUAGGGUGCAAGCGUUGUCCGGAAUUAUUGGGUGUAAAGAGCUCGUAGGCGGUUUGUCGCGUCUGCUGUGAAAACCCGAGGCUCAACCUCGGGCCUGCAGUGGGUACGGGCAGACUAGAGUGCGGUAGGGGAGAUUGGAAUUCCUGGUGUAGCGGUGGAAUGCGCAGAUAUCAGGAGGAACACCAAUGGCGAAGGCAGAUCUCUGGGCCGUAACUGACGCUGAGGAGCGAAAGCAUGGGGAGCGAACAGG